AAGGAUCAUUACCGAGUUUUUGGGGUUGUUGCGAUGCAAGUUGCAACAGGCCUGUCUCUCUCACACGUUGCGUACCAAACCAAAUACGUUAUCACAAAGGAAGAUGUGUCUAAACAACCAAAAACAAAAACAAAAACUUUCAACAACGGAUCUCUUGGUUCUG
This 163-nucleotide unclassified non-coding RNA is filed under the name uncultured fungus. Its description in RNAcentral is "partial contains 18S rRNA, ITS1, 5.8S rRNA, ITS2 and 28S rRNA". The record is from RNAcentral. Lineage: Eukaryota; Fungi.